UCAUUUAUCGGAAGGUCACCCAUC
RNAcentral lists this non-coding RNA (24 nucleotides) under Arabidopsis thaliana (thale cress). Lineage: Eukaryota; Viridiplantae; Streptophyta; Magnoliopsida; Brassicales; Brassicaceae. The record is from RNAcentral.